GACGAACGCUGGCGGCGUGCCUAAUACAUGCAAGUAGAACGCUGAAGGAGGAGCUUGCUCUUCUGGAUGAGUUGCGAACGGGUGAGUAACGCGUAGGUAACCUGCCUGGUAGCGGGGGAUAACUAUUGGAAACGAUAGCUAAUACCGCAUAACAGUAGAUGUUGCAUGACAUUUACUUAAAAGGUGCAAUUGCAUCACUACCAGAUGGACCUGCGUUGUAUUAGCUAGUUGGUGGGGUAACGGCUCACCAAGGCGACGAUACAUAGCCGACCUGAGAGGGUGAUCGGCCACACUGGGACUGAGACACGGCCCAGACUCCUACGGGAGGCAGCAGUAGGGAAUCUUCGGCAAUGGACGGAAGUCUGACCGAGCAACGCCGCGUGAGUGCAGAAGGUUUUCGGAUCGUAAAGCUCUGUUGUAAGAGAAGAACGAGUGUGAGAGUGGAAAGUUCACACUGUGACGGUAUCUUACCAGAAAGGGACGGCUAACUACGUG
Molecule: ribosomal RNA, 495 nt
Filed under: uncultured bacterium
Lineage: Bacteria
Description: partial 16S ribosomal RNA
Rfam family: Bacterial small subunit ribosomal RNA
Source: RNAcentral